ACCGACGAGCCGCUCGUGCUCGGGGACCUCGACGAACAGGAGGAGGGGCUCGCCACGGGGGAACAACAUGCUCCAGUUCCCGGAUUACCAGGUUUGGUGAUGCCGACCAAGAAGACUAUUGGUGCGGAGAAAGCGGCUGAUUCGAUACUGGAGUGCCUGUCAGUGGGCGGCGGCUACACGGCGGAGGUGGC
Papilio polytes (common Mormon) is the source of this 191-nucleotide long non-coding RNA. RefSeq lists it as uncharacterized. The record is from RefSeq and is a predicted model, not a curated record. NCBI's taxonomy places the organism in Eukaryota, Metazoa, Arthropoda, Insecta, Lepidoptera, Papilionidae. The transcript has 3 exons.